Long non-coding RNA from Lemur catta (Ring-tailed lemur), 1132 nucleotides. RefSeq lists it as uncharacterized. The transcript is spliced from 3 exons. The record is from RefSeq and is a predicted model, not a curated record. Lineage: Eukaryota; Metazoa; Chordata; Mammalia; Primates; Lemuridae.
UUUUCUUUUUCUUUUUUUAAUUAAGGUGCUAAUCUUUUUGAGCCUCAAUUUCCUUUUUUAUAAUUUGGAAAUAAUUGGAGUUAAUAAUACUUCACUAGAUUGUUAGACUGAUAUAUUCGUAAUAAAUGUAAAUGCCCAUAAUAGGCACGAUAGCCGCAUGACGAAAGAAGGUGGUUAUUAUUAGAGUAGCCCCAAUUGAUGCUAUUACAGAUCUUUCAUCUCCCUACUUACCCCAUUUUGCUUUCUCCUUCUUGGCAGGUGGCCCUGAUUCCUGUUUCACUGAGAUAAAAAAAUAUCCCGCUCCAGCAACCCUCUGCCACUCUGCUCAAAGUAUUGCUGUCUACCAUCCAUUUUGUGAAUGUUUCAUGUACCCAAAGGAAGAGGGGUCCGUUCUCCCUUCCCAGAACAACCCUGGGACCUUCAGGCUUCAUCUCGCCCUUGUCCAGAUCUUCCUCCCCUCCCUGUGCGACCUUUAAAGAUUAAGUACUUUAUGAAGUGGGAUUUAGUCAUGCAGAUGCAGUACAACAUUACCGGGAGCUAGUAAACAGUGCUGCAUAUUUUUCAUAUUAAAAGAUCCAGGAGCAGAAGAUGUCUUUCCUGAAAUAAAUGAAAUCCAGAACUUGUCAAGACGGAUCAGUAAAUCUUAUCUUCAGUACAUGAUCAGACUGCAGCUCAAAGUUCUCUCAAAGUCAUGUUCUCAAGCUGAGCAGAAGAUUCGUUGAAAGGGUCUUCACCAAGUUGUUCACUUGUGUUAACAGGGAGGGACUGUACCAUCAGUUUUGUUCUGUGGGUCUCCCAGGUGGUUUUCAAUAACAUACAAGACUUAUAGAGACCCUUCAUCACCUUCAAAUCCAAUGAACAGUGGAAACAUGUCAAGAUUUCCUUUUGCAACAUUAUUUUUCAAAAUAUUUCAUAUCUUUAAAAUCCAAGAACCUUACCACUUGAAGUUAAAACAUUUUCUGUGGAGUCUGGUGAUUCAUCUUUUAGCCCAAACUCUUGCUGAGAACUCUCCCUCUGCUAAGCCACCAAAUUUCUGUUUGUGGCAGGAGAUUUAUAUGCUCUUUGACAAGACAUUUACACAGUUUUAAAAACAUUUUCAGAUAAAUUGUUCUCUGUUUAAUAAAGUUGGCCA